UUUUUUUUUUUUUUUGCCUUUUUAUGGCUGCACCUGCAGCAUAUGGAAGUUUCCAGGCUAGGGGUCCAAUCAGAGCUGUAGCUGCCGGCCUACGCAACAGACACAGCAAUGCCAUAUCUGAGACUUACACCACAGCUCGCAGCAACUCUGGAUCCCUGAACCACUGAGCAAGGCCAGGAAUCGAACCUGCAUCCUUAUGGAUUCUAGUCGGAUUUGUUUCUGCUGUGCCACAACAGGAACUCCCUUGAGCAUAUAUUCUUAAUAUGUAAGUUCCAGCACAUGAUAUUUAUCUUAAAAAUAGAACUAUUAGUGGACAAUUUUGAGAGCUUUAUAAUUUAGAAAGCACUAUAUCAUAUGCAUUGAUUUCUUUGAUCCCUAUCACAGGGAAGACAGAAGAUUUUAUAAUCAUUUUCUGAAACCAAAGCUCAGAGUUUGGGACCUCUUCAAAUUGUUAUGGCCAAGACAAGAAGCCAGCUUCUAAUUCUGCUAUGUUUUCCUUGUCCCCACCCUGGCCCCACUAUAUCACAUUGCAUUUCAAAGAGCUGUUUUGUCUUUUAUGCGUUAGAAACAUAUAUUUUAUCUAUGUUUUUUGACUCAAUUACCCAUCCUUUGACACAUUUAUAACCUUGGAGAUAUUAAGCCAGAAUAUCUUUUGAUUUUCUCUCCUCCUUUGCCUGUUAAGUUUGUUUUUUUUUUUUGCUAAUAAAAAUUCAUUAGGAAAUUCAUUCAACCAGAAUGUAUGCAGUGCUUCUAACCUGCAGAACCCUAGGCUGCUCGCCGUCAGAGGUGGGAGAUUUCAAUAGAAAGAAAUACAUGCUUGUGAAGGGCCUGCAGGUCACCAGUAAGGAUUCUGGCACCAGGCCCUGUGCUGACAACCACUGGGCUAUAUCCGUUUGUCCAUGUGUAAAAUGAGAAUCAGCUCUUUCACAAAUAUGAGCAUGGCAGUAAAUAUGAAAAUAGAACAGGUUUUAUGGCACACACCAAAUAAAGUUUAGAAUUAAAGGGCACUACUCUUUCUUUGCAUUCUAUCCAAGCCCUUAGCAGUGUUGUUGAAUUUUAGACAAUAGGAAGAGUUCUUUGCAGACCAAUAUAACCAAAUGAAAGCUAAAAACAUAAAGAGCCUGUCCCAGUUCUUGACAGGAAACAUGCUUCUCGGCCCUGAUUUGCACACCUGGGCAGCAGAGUAAUGUCCACAGAUGUUGCUUCCACUAUGCCCAGGUGGGUUUCCAUGUACAUGAAAACUACACUGACUCAGAAAAUAAGGCAUACUUGAGCCAUAAUAAAAUUUCUAUCUGUUUGCUCACUCCAUUUUAGACACAGUUAUUUGGCAAUUGGACACAUGACAAAAACUUUCAAUUUACAUUUAAACCCUAUGUGGGUUACUUUUUCUAAUUCUUUAAGACUCUGAUCCAGACCCAAACCCACAUCACUUCUCUAUAAAAGGAACCAAAAAUCAUCCAGAAGAGUACUCUCCCUCUCCCUCCAACUCCCUCCAUUUCCCAACUCUGUCCUUUGUCAGUUACCUACCCCUUUUUGUUGGAAUAAUGCCAAUGACUAAUACUUUCUGAGCUCUUACUGGGAGUCAGGAAUUUUCUAUUAGUUCUCAGCCAUACUGGGAAUUCAAAGAUGCAUGAUUUCUAUCCUACUUUUGUCCAUGAAGAAACUGAGGCAGCAGCAGCUUGACAACUUAUCCACUGUGAUACACUAGUAAGAAGAUACAAUUGGAGGCAAUGUCUAGCUCCAAGGCCCAAAAUUUUGACCCCUCUGUUGAAACACCUGAGCUACAUACUCCAUAUUUCCAUAAGAAGCUCUCCCUAAAGAAAAUUUAAAAAAAUGUUAUUUCAUAAAUUUUUAACUGAAAGAGUAGAAUCAGUGCAGAAUGGACUCCAUUUUCUGUAGAACUAGAUCAAGAGUAUGAUUCCCUGGUCCAUGACAGCCAGUACCCCCUGAGCAGUGGUAUACAACAUGCCGUGUCAGCAGGUGUAACUUCUCACUGUUUUAACCUAUAUAAAAAGGAGGCAAUAUCAUCCUCAUUUUCCAGAUGAGAAACCUAAAGCAUAGAAAGGUAAAAUGAGUUUUUCCAAUGUCAUUCAGCUAAAAGGGGGCCAAAUCUUAACUAUCGCACUACCCUGCCUCUCUAGCAAUUUAUUUCACAUCAGUGAAAAAUCCCAAGACACACAUAAAGAAAGCCUUGCCUUAUGAUGAAAAAUAAAAUGAGUACACAAAUGCACAUGCCUAAAUCCUCUAAUUCCAAAACUUAUGCAAUCCCUUGAAUCCUCCAAUUCAAAAAAUUAUGCCAUUUUUCAUGCCCUUAAAUACCCAUUUUUAUGCCAUUCUAGACCUCUGACCACAAACACUUCUUUACCUUAGUGUGGUAGUUCUCAGAAAAUGACAGCUGAAUUCAUUUUGACUGAUCUGUUAGUUGCCUUUCUGUGGGGAGAGGACAGAGUGAAACUGUGCAAGAUACGUUUUCACUGAGAAAAAUUUUAAGGUUUCUCUUGAGCUUUUUCUUUUGGUAUUGGACAACUAUUGCUUCUCUAGCCAUGAAGAAUCGAUAGCACCCAAUGCUGGCCAGUCUCUGUGGGCUGGGCCAAGCCUCAAGGUCAAGCUAAGGUAAAACACCCCAUCCAACAAAUAGGUUUUAUGUGUGCUUCCUCUUCUCUUUCCUCCCAAAUCCCUUCAUUGCCCUCAGCUCCCCAGCUUGCUCCCCUGGAUGUCAAAUUUACUAGGUAGGGCAAAGAGAGGUGUCUCCAUGGUGGUAGAGUUGCCUGGUAAGGAGAGAGAAAGAGGUCAAAAGAGCCCUUUUUAUUUCUCCUUCAGAAACAGAAGCCCAUCUUUAUGCCCAUCUGCCUGUCAGAUGCCGAGCAAGUUUUUCGCCUAGGGCAGGACUUCUCAAGAAGGUGUCAGCUGAAUGAGCCAGGGAGGGGGUUGCAUUAAUACACAAGGAGACCAGUAGACUGAGGAAGCUUGAAAGCCAUGGCUGCCUCCUAUGGAAGCAAACCCAAAUCUAAGCCUCUAAAGGCCUCAUGGCUGCAAGGUCCAAGCUCCAAGGACAACCAAUCACAAACAGUCAACUAGGUUUUAAGCAGUUGCCAAUCAAUAAUCUCCUAUUUCCAAUUUUCUCUGUAAAGUCUUUCCCCUUGGCUCCUGUUGGCAAAACACUUAAAAAAAAGUUUCUUUUAAUUAAUUAAUUGUUUUUAGCCACACCUGUAGCAUGUGUAAGUUCCCAGGGCAGAGAUCAAACCUAGCCACAGCAGUAAUCAGAGCCUCAGGAGGGACAAUACCUGGGUCCCUAAUCGCUAGGCCACCAUGGACAUCUAGAAGAACACCUUUAAUCGUAUCCAGUUUGGUGCUGCCCUGUCAAUUCGAUUUUUGUUUAAAUAAACUCAGAACAUUUUUAAUAAGCCUCAGCUUACCUUUUAUCAGUGUGCAUGUGUUAAAAAUCUAGACUCCAGAGCAUCAUCACAGCUGUAUUGGAAUCAGAAUGGGGGUGUGCAUGCAGAGUGGGGUUACAGCGUAAGUGGGGCACAGCCAUCUAACUUUGUUAUAAGCUCUCCCAGGCAAUUCAGAUGCACUUGAAAGUUUUAGAACUUCUAGCCUAGACCAGAGAAAGGGAAGAGAUGGGCCAGUAAGUGGUCACAUUUGAAGGGAAAUAAAACGACACCUUGAGCUCAAAGUUGAGAAAUAUUCCUAGAAAGUUAUGCUACUAAGAGGCUCUGAACCCCAUGGAUCCUACUAUUCCCCCAAAUAAAACACCCAUCUCUCAUCCAAGAGACUCCAUUCCAUCCAUUAGCAGCUCUGCUCUGAUAGAAGGGUGGCCCCAGGCCAUGGCCUUCUGAUUGACAACAAAAACAGACAGUGCUUAACCACCCAGUCUUUUCCAUCUUUCCAAUAGGCAGACGGGUUUCUGGUACACUCAGAUCACUGAAUGUUUUUUGGCACAGAACUGGUGCUAUAUUUGGUGAUUGCCAUUUACAAUAUAUUACAAUUACUGUAAUUGUACUAUUACAAUUACAAUUACUGAAUUUUAUAAAUACAUUUGGACCCAUGCAUGUUUUCCACAACAGGGGUCAUAAAAUCACAGUCAGUGGGUCAAAUCCAGCAUUGCUUUUAUAAAGUUUAUUGCACCACGAUCAUGUUCAUUCACUUUCAUAUUGUACAUGGCUGUUUUCACACUAUAAUAGUAAAGUAGAUGCAAUGGAGACUCUAUGACCCAUAAAGCCAAAAAUAUUUACUGUCUGAUCCUUUACAGAAAAUGUCAACAUCUGGUGUAAACACUAUAUUAUAGACUAUCGAUAUCUACUACUCCUAGGCCAGUCACUCUACUAGACCCCUUUUAUAAAUGAUUUUUAAUGGCAUAAAUAACUUUGCUUAUUAAUAGUAUGAUCACCACAUUUCAGUUGAGGAAAGUCUUCAAGAAGUCAGAUGUGUCUAAAAUAGAUUGCCAGUUUCGUAGCCAGAAUUCAAACACUGCUUUGUUGUGUUUUUUUCCUGACUCCAGAUCUAUUAUGAGCUAUUUUAAGGAUACAAUCACCAGGUUAUACUAUUUAGUGGGAAAAAUAGCUCUUAGGGGCAAACCAUGGACCAAAAAUGAGCUCUUAAAAGCAGCCCAGAAGUUCCCGUUGUGGCUCAGUAAGUUAAGGACCAUAUACUAUAUGUGAGGAUGUGGUUUUGAUCCCUGGCCUCACUCAGUGGAAGUAUCCGGCAUAGGUGGCACAGGUUGCAGCUGUGUCUUGGGUCUGGUGUUGCCAUGGCUAUGGUGUAGGCCUGCAGCUGCAGUUCAGAUUUGACCCCUAGCCUGGGGAACUUCCAUACCCCACAGAUGUAGCUG
This 4831-nucleotide long non-coding RNA is filed under the name Sus scrofa (pig). RNAcentral's name for it is "lncRNA (ENSSSCG00000052649.1, ENSSSCG00105019389.1)". The record is from RNAcentral. Lineage: Eukaryota; Metazoa; Chordata; Mammalia; Artiodactyla; Suidae.